RNAcentral lists this ribosomal RNA (207 nucleotides) under uncultured bacterium. RNAcentral's name for it is "partial 16S ribosomal RNA". It matches the Rfam family "Bacterial small subunit ribosomal RNA", at positions 1294 to 1500 of the family's 1533-position model. The record is from RNAcentral.
CGGAUUGUAGUCUGCAACUCGACUACAUGAAGCUGGAAUCGCUAGUAAUCGCGGAUCAGAAUGCCGCGGUGAAUACGUUCCCGGGUCUUGUACACACCGCCCGUCACACCAUGGGAGUCGGUAACACCCGAAGUCGGUAGCCUAACCGUAAGGAGGGCGCCGCCGAAGGUGGGAUUGAUGACUGGGGUGAAGUCGUAACAAGGUACC